RNAcentral lists this ribosomal RNA (407 nucleotides) under uncultured Marmoricola sp. Its description in RNAcentral is "bacterial SSU rRNA". It matches the Rfam family "Bacterial small subunit ribosomal RNA", at positions 355 to 774 of the family's 1533-position model. Lineage: Bacteria; Bacillati; Actinomycetota; Actinomycetes; Propionibacteriales; Nocardioidaceae. The record is from RNAcentral.
UGGGGAAUAUUGGACAAUGGGCGAAAGCCUGAUCCAGCAACGCCGCGUGAGGGAUGACGGCCUUCGGGUUGUAAACCUCUUUCAGCGGGGACGAAGCGAAAGUGACGGUACCCGCAGAAGAAGCACCGGCCAACUACGUGCCAGCAGCCGCGGUAAUACGUAGGGUGCGAGCGUUGUCCGGAAUUAUUGGGCGUAAAGGGCUCGUAGGCGGUCUGUUGCGUCGGGAGUGAAAACUCAGGGCUUAACCCUGAGCCUGCUUCCGAUACGGGCAGACUAGAGGUAUGCAGGGGAGAACGGAAUUCCUGGUGUAGCGGUGAAAUGCGCAGAUAUCAGGAGGAACACCGGUGGCGAAGGCGGUUCUCUGGGCAUUACCUGACGCUGAGGAGCGAAAGUGUGGGGAGCGAACA